UUUAUUUAAUAGUGAUGCUAUUGACAAAAUUUUAUUUGUAUUAAAUACACAUAAUGAUGUUUUUAUGAUUACGGCAGUAUUUUAGUGAUUUUUGGCACUUCGAAAGUUGUGGGAAAUAUUGUACUCCUGACCGCAUAUGGAUGGUAUUUUUCACUGUGUGAGCAAUAUACUUCAUGUAGUUAUUACACUUGCAGAUCAACGAAACUCUCGACUUCUUUAAGAGCAGUCAGGUGGAUACAUCUCUCAAUAUGUUCGUAAUCUCAGAGAGCGUCUAAAGCGAGCAAUCCGAUGAUAGCUUUAUGCUCGACGACAUUGGAAUGACGAAGAUUGGAUCAAUGCGAAAUUAGCUCAAAUUCAAAAUACGGAUACAGAAGAUGACGUUUUAUUUCGUGAGUGAGCCAUCCAUCAAUUUGUGUCAACAAGAACAGUCCCAAAGCAUCCAAGAAAGUACCAGUGUUUCUAUUACUGACUUGAUUAUAUAAAUCAUGCUAUUUAUUUAAUAAUUUCAAGUAAUACUAACUACAUUUAUAGCAAUUAAAAUAUAUGUCUGA
Long non-coding RNA from Cydia pomonella (codling moth), 551 nucleotides. RefSeq lists it as uncharacterized. The transcript is spliced from 2 exons. The record is from RefSeq and is a predicted model, not a curated record. Lineage: Eukaryota; Metazoa; Arthropoda; Insecta; Lepidoptera; Tortricidae.